AACGAACGCUGGCGGCAGGCCUAACACAUGCAAGUCGAACGAAGUCUUCGGACUUAGUGGCGCACGGGUGAGUAACACGUGGGAAUAUACCUUACGCUGGGGGAUAACAUCGGGAAACUGAUGCUAAUACCGCAUACGCCCUUCGGGGGAAAGAUUUAUCGGCGAAAGAUUAGCCCGCGUCCGAUUAGCUAGUUGGUGAGGUAAUGGCUCACCAAGGCUCCGAUCGGUAGCUGGUCUGAGAGGAUGACCAGCCACACUGGGACUGAGACACGGCCCAGACUCCUACGGGAGGCAGCAGUGGGGAAUAUUGGACAAUGGGCGCAAGCCUGAUCCAGCCAUGCCGCGUGAGUGAUGAAGGCCUUAGGGUUGUAAAGCUCUUUCACCCACGACGAUGAUGACGGUAGUGGGAGAAGAAGCCCCGGCGAACUUCGU
Molecule: ribosomal RNA, 432 nt
Filed under: uncultured bacterium
Lineage: Bacteria
Description: partial 16S ribosomal RNA
Rfam family: Bacterial small subunit ribosomal RNA
Source: RNAcentral